GAUUCCCCUAGUAACUGCGAGUGAAGCGGGAAAAGCUCAAAUUUAAAAUCUGGUGGUCUUUUGGCCGUCCGAGUUGUAAUCUAGAGAAGUGUUAUCCGCGYWGGACCGUGUACAAGUCUCCUGGAAUGGAGCAUCAUAGAGGGUGAGAAUCCCGUCUUUGACAUGGACUGCCAGGGCUUUUGUGAUGCGCUCUCAAAGAGUCGAGUUGUUUGGGAAUGCAGCUCAAAAUGGGUGGUAAAUUCCAUCUAAAGCUAAAUAUUGGCGAGAGACCGAUAGCGAACAAGUACCGUGAGGGAAAGAUGAAAAGAACUUUGGAAAGAGAGUUAAACAGUACGUGAAAUUGCUGAAAGGGAAACGCUUGAAGUCAGUCGCGUCAUCCAGGGAUCAACCUUGCUUUUGCUUGGUGCACUUUCUGGUUUGAUGGGUCAGCAUCAAUUUUGACCAUUGGAAAAAGGUCAAGGGAAUGUGGCAUCUUUGGAUGUGUUUAUAGCCCUUGGUCACAUACAAUGGUUUGGGAUUGAGGAACUCAGCACGCCGCAAGGCCGGGUUUAAAACCACGUACGUGCUUAGGAUGUUGACAUAUAUAAUGGCUUUAAUCGACCCGUCUUGAAACACGGACCAAGGAGUCUAACAUGCCUGCGAGUGUUUGGGUGGAAAACCCGAGCGCGUAAUGAAAGUGAAAAGUUGAGAUCCCUGUCGUGGGGAGCAUCGACGCCCGGACCAGACCUUUUGUGACGGUUCCGCGGUGGAGCAUGUAUGUUGGGACCCGAAAGAUGGUGAACUAUGCCUGAAUAGGGUGAAUCCAGAGGAAACUCUGGUGGAGG
RNAcentral lists this ribosomal RNA (824 nucleotides) under Cortinarius roseoarmillatus. RNAcentral's name for it is "LSU rRNA". It matches the Rfam family "Eukaryotic large subunit ribosomal RNA", at positions 73 to 873 of the family's 3401-position model. The record is from RNAcentral. Lineage: Eukaryota; Fungi; Basidiomycota; Agaricomycetes; Agaricales; Cortinariaceae.